CGGUUCACUUUAACACUGAGGCGUGACGACGAGGCACUACGGUGCUGAAGCAACAAAUGCCCUGCUUCCAGGAAAAGCCUCUAAGCAUCAGGUAACAUCAAAUCGUACCCCAAACCGACACAGGUGGUCAGGUAGAGAAUACCAAGGCGCUUGAGAGAACUCGGGUGAAGGAACUAGGCAAAAUGGUGCCGUAACUUCGGGAGAAGGCACGCUGACACGUAGGUGAAGUGAUUUACUCAUGGAGCUGAAGUCAGUCGAAGAUACCAGCUGGCUGCAACUGUUUAUUAAAAACACAGCACUGUGCAAACAUGAAAGUGGACGUAUACGGUGUGACGCCUGCCCGGUGCCGGAAGGUUAAUUGAUGGGGUCAGCGCAAGCGAAGCUCCUGAUCGAAGCCCCGGUAAACGGCGGCCGUAACUAUAACGGUCCUAAGGUAGCGAAAUUCCUUGUCGGGUAAGUUCCGACCUGCACGAAUGGCGUAAUGAUGGCCAGGCUGUCUCCACCCGAGACUCAGUGAAAUUGAACUCGCUGUGAAGAUGCAGUGUACCCGCGGCAAGACGGAAAGACCCCGUGAACCUUUACUAUAGCUUGACACUGAACAUUGAGCCUUGAUGUGUAGGAUAGGUGGGAGGCUUUGAAGUGUGGACGCCAGUCUGCAUGGAGCCGACCUUGAAAUACCACCCUUUAAUGUUUGAUGUUCUAACGUGGACCCGUAAUCCGGGUUGCGGACAGUGUCUGGUGGGUAGUUUGACUGGGGCGGUCUCCUCCUAAAGAGUAACGGAGGAGCACGAAGGUUGGCUAAUCCUGGUCGGACAUCAGGAGGUUAGUGCAAUGGCAUAAGCCAGCUUGACUGCGAGCGUGACGGCGCGAGCAGGUGCGAAAGCAGGUCAUAGUGAUCCGGUGGUUCUGAAUGGAAGGGCCAUCGCUCAACGGAUAAAAGGUACUCCGGGGAUAACAGGCUGAUACCGCCCAAGAGUUCAUAUCGACGGCGGUGUUUGGCACCUCGAUGUCGGCUCAUCACAUCCUGGGGCUGAAGUAGGUCCCAAGGGUAUGGCUGUUCGCCAUUUAAAGUGGUACGCGAGCUGGGUUUAGAACGUCGUGAGACAGUUCGGUCCCUAUCUGCCGUGGGCGCUGGAGAACUGAGGGGGGCUGCUCCUAGUACGAGAGGACCGGAGUGGACGCAUCACUGGUGUUCGGGUUGUCAUGCCAAUGGCACUGCCCGGUAGCUAAAUGCGGAAGAGAUAAGUGCUGAAAGCAUCUAAGCACGAAACUUGCCCCGAGAUGAGUUCUCCCUGAGACUUAGAGUCUCCUGAAGGAACGUUGAAGACGACGACGUUGAUAGGCCGGGUGUGUAAGCGCAGCGAUGCGUUGAGCUAACCGGUACUAAUGAACCGUGAGGCUUAACCUUACAACGCCGAAG
This 1420-nucleotide ribosomal RNA is filed under the name Salmonella enterica subsp. enterica serovar Agona. RNAcentral describes it as "partial 23S ribosomal RNA". It matches the Rfam family "Bacterial large subunit ribosomal RNA", at positions 1541 to 2925 of the family's 2925-position model. Lineage: Bacteria; Pseudomonadati; Pseudomonadota; Gammaproteobacteria; Enterobacterales; Enterobacteriaceae. The record is from RNAcentral.